Molecule: ribosomal RNA, 253 nt
Filed under: uncultured bacterium
Lineage: Bacteria
Description: partial 16S ribosomal RNA
Rfam family: Bacterial small subunit ribosomal RNA
Source: RNAcentral
UACAGAGGGUGCAAGCGUUAUUCGGAAUUAUUGGGCGUAAAGGGCGCGUAGGUGGCUUGGUAAGUCUGAUGUGAAAUCCCCGGACUCAAUUCGGGAAGUGCAUUGGAUACUGCUAAGCUGGAGUAUGGGAGAGGAGAGUGGAAUUCCAGGUGUAGAGGUGAAAUUCGUAGAUAUCUGGAGGAACAACAGAGGCGAAGGCGACUCUCUGGACCAUUACUGACACUGAGGCGCGAAAGCGUGGGGAGCAAACAGG